This 466-nucleotide ribosomal RNA is filed under the name uncultured bacterium. Its description in RNAcentral is "bacterial SSU rRNA". It matches the Rfam family "Bacterial small subunit ribosomal RNA", at positions 355 to 825 of the family's 1533-position model. The record is from RNAcentral.
UAGGGAAUAUUGGACAAUGGGUGAGAGCCUGAUCCAGCCAUGCCGCGUGCAGGAAGAAGGCGUUAUGCGUUGUAAACUGCUUUUGCCAGGGGAUAAAAAGACCGUGCGCGGUUAAUUGAAGGUACCUGGUGAAUAAGCCACGGCUAACUACGUGCCAGCAGCCGCGGUAAUACGUAGGUGGCAAGCGUUGUCCGGAUUUAUUGGGUUUAAAGGGUGCGUAGGUGGCCCUGUAAGUCAGUGGUGAAAUAUCUCAGCUUAACUGAGAGGGUGCCAUUGAUACUGCAGGGCUUGAGUACAGAUGAGGUAGGCGGAAUUGACGGUGUAGCGGUGAAAUGCAUAGAUAUCGUCAAGAACACCGAUAGCGAAGGCAGCUUACCAAGCUGUAACUGACACUGAGGCACGAAAGUGUGGGGAUCAAACAGGAUUAGAUACCCGUGUAGUCCCUGAGCGGGCUGGCAAGGCGCAU